GACGAACGCUGGCGGCGUGCUUAACACAUGCAAGUCGAACGGAAAGGCCCCUUCGGGGGUACUCGAGUGGCGAACGGGUGAGUAACACGUGAGUAACCUGCCCUUGACUUCGGGAUAACUUCAGGAAACUGGGGCUAAUACCGGAUAGGAAUCCUUGCUGCAUGGUGGGGGUUGGAAAGCUUCGGCGGUUUUGGAUGGACUCGCGGCUUAUCAGCUUGUUGGUGGGGUAGUGGCUUACCAAGGCUUUGACGGGUAGCCGGCCUGAGAGGGCGACCGGCCACAUUGGGACUGAGAUACGGCCCAGACUCCUACGGGAGGCAGCAGUGGGGAAUAUUGCACAAUGGGCGGAAGCCUGAUGCAGCAACGCCGCGUGCGGGAUGACGGCCUUCGGGUUGUAAACCGAUUUCAGCAGGGGCGAAGCUUGUGGUGACGGUACCUGCAGAAGAAGCACCGGCUAACUACGUG
RNAcentral lists this ribosomal RNA (465 nucleotides) under uncultured bacterium. Its description in RNAcentral is "partial 16S ribosomal RNA". It matches the Rfam family "Bacterial small subunit ribosomal RNA", at positions 28 to 507 of the family's 1533-position model. The record is from RNAcentral.